Molecule: ribosomal RNA, 468 nt
Filed under: uncultured bacterium
Lineage: Bacteria
Description: partial 16S ribosomal RNA
Rfam family: Bacterial small subunit ribosomal RNA
Source: RNAcentral
GACGAACGCUGGCGGCGUGCUUAACACAUGCAAGUCGAACGGAAAGGCCCUGCUUUUGUGGGGUGCUCGAGUGGCGAACGGGUGAGUAACACGUGAGUAACCUGCCCUUGACUUUGGGAUAACUUCAGGAAACUGGGGCUAAUACCGGAUAGGAGCUCCUGCUGCAUGGUGGGGGUUGGAAAGUUUCGGCGGUUGGGGAUGGACUCGCGGCUUAUCAGCUUGUUGGUGGGGUAGUGGCUUACCAAGGCUUUGACGGGUAGCCGGCCUGAGAGGGUGACCGGCCACAUUGGGACUGAGAUACGGCCCAGACUCCUACGGGAGGCAGCAGUGGGGAAUAUUGCACAAUGGGCGGAAGCCUGAUGCAGCAACGCCGCGUGCGGGAUGACGGCCUUCGGGGUGUAACCCGCUUUCGCCUGUGACGAAGCGGGAGGGACGGUAAUGGGUAAAGAAGCACCGGCUAACUACGUG